GUCUAGUGAUGAUAGCGAAGAGGUCACACCCGUUCCCAUGCCGAACACGGAAGUUAAGCUCUUCAGCGCCGAUGGUAGUUGGGGGGUUCCCCCUGUGAGAGUAGGACGUCGCUAGGCA
RNAcentral lists this ribosomal RNA (118 nucleotides) under Jeotgalibacillus malaysiensis. The record is from RNAcentral. Lineage: Bacteria; Bacillati; Bacillota; Bacilli; Caryophanales; Caryophanaceae.